UCACCGGUGGCGCGGUGUCGAAACCGGUUCCUCACAGAUUACAAGUCGACAAGUCCAACGUAUAAUCCCCAUUGGCGGGGCCAGAACAGAACAGAACAGAUCAUAGCCAUGCUGAGAAUAUAUAUAUAUAAAAACAGAUUUCAUAAAUUUUUCAGUCAUAGUUUACGGAUUUCAGAGCAUAAUUUUCAAAUGAAAUUUAACAUGCCAGACCCAUUUUACUAAAUACAAAACAUAUUUCAGAAUUUAAUCUAUUUAUUUGAAAAUCACACUUGAAGUAUUAAGUCACUUACCUCUUCUCGCUUAACCCCUGCUUCA
RNAcentral lists this long non-coding RNA (315 nucleotides) under Phoenix dactylifera (date palm). Its description in RNAcentral is "long non-coding RNA (PDAC_LNC011591)". Lineage: Eukaryota; Viridiplantae; Streptophyta; Magnoliopsida; Arecales; Arecaceae. The record is from RNAcentral.